GUGCCAAUCGUGGCAGCACAUAUACUAAAAUUGAAACAAUAUAGAGAAGAUUAGCAUAGCUCCUAUGCAAAAAUAAUACACAAAUUUGUGAAGCAUUCCAUAUUAUC
Small nuclear RNA from Arvicanthis niloticus (Nile rat), 107 nucleotides. NCBI's taxonomy places the organism in Eukaryota, Metazoa, Chordata, Mammalia, Rodentia, Muridae. The record is from RefSeq and is a predicted model, not a curated record.